This 394-nucleotide ribosomal RNA is filed under the name uncultured microorganism. Its description in RNAcentral is "bacterial SSU rRNA". It matches the Rfam family "Archaeal small subunit ribosomal RNA", at positions 330 to 745 of the family's 1478-position model. The record is from RNAcentral.
GCGCACCAGGCGCGAAAGCGUGAUGAGGGAAUCCCAAGUGCUUGCACGUAAGUGUAAGCUGUUUUCUGUUUAAAAGCAGAGAGAGUAAGGGCUGGGUAAGACGGGUGCCAGCCGCCGCGGUAAUACCUGCAGCUCAAGUGGUGGCCGCUAUUAUUGGGCCUAAAACGUUCGUAGCCUGUUUAGUAAAUGCCUGGGUAAAUCGUGUAGCUUAACUAUACGAAUUCCGGGUAGACUGCUAAACUUGAGACUGGGAGAGGCUAGAGGUACUCCUGGGGUAGAGGUGAAAUUCUGUAAUCCUAGGGGGACCACCAGUGGCGAAGGCGUCUAGCUAGAACGGGUCUGACGGUGAGGGACGAAGCCCUGGGGCGCAAACCGGAUUAGAUACCCCCGUAGU